Molecule: ribosomal RNA, 777 nt
Filed under: uncultured marine microorganism
Description: bacterial SSU rRNA
Rfam family: Bacterial small subunit ribosomal RNA
Source: RNAcentral
UCUGCUGGGCCAUUACUGACGCUCAUGGACGAAAGCCAGGGGAGCGAAAGGGAUUAGAUACCCCUGUAGUCCUGNCCGUAAACGAUGAACACUAGGUGUCGGGGGAAUCGACCCNUUCGGUGUCGUAGCUAACGCGUUAAGUGUUCCGCCUGGGGAGUACGCACGCAAGUGUGAAACUCAAAGGAAUUGACGGGGGCCCGCACAAGCGGUGGAGUAUGUGGUUUAAUUCGAUGCAACGCGAAGAACCUUACCAGGGUUUGACAUCCUGCGAACCUCUUAGAAAUUUGAGGGUGCCUUCGGGAAUGCAGUGACAGGUGGUGCAUGGCUGUCGUCAGCUCGUGUCGUGAGAUGUUGGGUUAAGUCCCGCAACGAGCGCAACCCACGUUUUUAGUUGCCAGCAUUUAGUUGGGCACUCUAGAAAGACCGCCGGUGAUAAACCGGAGGAAGGUGUGGAUGACGUCAAGUCAUCAUGCCCCUUACACCCUGGGCUACACACGUACUACAAUGCUACGGACAAAGGGCAGCAAACUCGCGAGAGCUAGCAAAUCCCAUAAACCGUGGCUCAGUUCAGAUCGUAGGCUGCAACUCGCCUACGUGAAGUAGGAAUCGCUAGUAAUCGCAGGUCAGCAUACUGCGGUGAAUACGUUCCCGGGCCUUGUACACACCGCCCGUCACACCAUGGAAGUUAGCCAUGCCCGAAGUCGUUACUCCAACCCUUGUGGAGGAGGACGCCGAAGGUGGGGCUAAUGACUGGGGUGAAGUCGUAACAAGGUAACC